This 136-nucleotide ribosomal RNA is filed under the name Apicomplexa sp. Its description in RNAcentral is "partial small subunit ribosomal RNA". It matches the Rfam family "Eukaryotic small subunit ribosomal RNA", at positions 1296 to 1460 of the family's 1831-position model. The record is from RNAcentral. Lineage: Eukaryota; Apicomplexa.
AGUUGGUGGGUUGACUUGUCUGGUUAAUUUCGAUAACGAACGAGAUCCGAGCUGUUUAUUUGCAUUUGCUAUCACAGUAAUAUGUUCUUAAAUGGACCAUCAGCUUAAGUUGAGGGAAGUGUCGGGCUAAAUCAGG